CUUUGAAGGAGACCAGAGUGUUAUUCAGCAAUGAGUGUAGCUUGUGGUUGAUGGAAGAGAGAGUAAGGGAGAAGAGGAGGAGGAAAGCAAGACAAAGAAGUAAAAGGAGGAAGAAUGAAGAAAUCCCUUCGUAUGGGUAUAAUAUACAAGAUGGCAGAAGUGAUAUCGUAGCAGCCCCCCAUUCGUCUUACUCUGUGAGAAGAAGCGUAUUUUGUUCAGAUUAUUAUAUUAGUAGCAAAGUUACAGGUCUAGCAGCUGUAAUCCCCUGACUGAAUGGUGUGUACAAAGGAGUGCAGAGGUUCAAUUUAUUUAAGAAUUUGAUAAAUAUUACUAUAAACAAUGUAGGAAGCAGAAAUGUAGUCAAUGGAAGUUUUUCACACUCAAAAAGUGAUCAAAUAAUCUUUUUGUUUUGAUAAGCAUGAUUUAUAUGUAUUAUUUACCUGUAGAAUUGCCUGUAUAUGUUUUUUACUGAUAGUAUUGGGAUAUGAUGAGUUCUUUAUCAAUGUAUCUUGAUUUAUGGGAAAAUUAAAUAAAGAAAGAAAGAAGGAAGGA
This is a long non-coding RNA of Cryptotermes secundus, 552 nucleotides long. RefSeq lists it as uncharacterized. The record is from RefSeq and is a predicted model, not a curated record. Lineage: Eukaryota; Metazoa; Arthropoda; Insecta; Blattodea; Kalotermitidae. The transcript is spliced from 3 exons.